GUAACCCUCUUCCUGGUGUUUGGGCGGCUGCCAGACGAGAGGAAGGCCAAUUCUGGCUUGUGAGCUCUAGGCCUCUGUUGCCUUAUUUUGUCUGGUUGGUCUGAGAGCGCAGCAAGGGCCCAGCCCGGGCAGCUGGGGUCAGGACUGGAAGCCUGGGGUCAGUGGCAGCAUCCCUGCUUGCCUCCCAGAGUCCUCGGCACCACGACAGUAAAGGGGUGUCAACCGCUGCCUCUCAGGGGGCGGGUGGAUGUCUGGGACCCCGGUGACACCUGCUUGCCUCCCAGCUGUUGCUCACAGCACCCUGGGUGUGGGGGUGGGACGUCUCCACUUGCCACACGUGACCUCUGUUCUCUGCUUGGUCAAGACCAGACGCUGGGAUUUGGUUUAAAAAUUUCUGAAUCAUUUGUUGUGUUUGCUUCAAAAAUAGAAUUUCCAAGUUGGGACAAGCACUUUCCGUUUUUGUUGUGUGUAAGACAUGCCAUCGUUGGAUUUUUUUACUUGUCCAGAGCUCACCAUGUCAUGAAGUCUCCACUAAACUCAGCCUUCAUUAGCUGAGCUAAUGGGACCCUCUGACAGAGGUGGGAGGUGCUCUCCUCAACCCCGUGAAAGCCCCAUGAUGUCCAGGACCUGGGCAUUGGUCCAUUUUGGGGCUUGGUGCAGCCUCCCUCAGGCUCACACCCCCAGCACACGUAGUCCCAACCUGCUGGCUGCCUCCUCGUGACCAGUCGCUGCUCUGGGAAUCUGCCUGGGCUCAGAAGACUUGCCGGGAAGCUACCUUGGGCCUCUUCUGGCCUGGGCGUGUGCGUGUGCGUGUGCGUGCGUAGGAGGGGAUCUUCACUUCCUAAGGACUAGAAAUCCAGGGCACUUGUCCCUGACACGUGACCCAUAUAAGCAGCCCAGAGUACAGCACCGAGGAACCCCCAGUGGCUUCAGCUGGAGAAGGCCCAGCGCAGUUUUGCUGCUAGGGCAGCUCCUCUACCCUCGACACGCUCUUCUGAGCUCUGGUGUCACCUAGAAAGGAAGAGACACUGGUUGGGCCUUAGGAAGAGGUGAGAUUUUAAUCCCAAUGUUGGUAAAUAAACUCUGCGGAAGCCAUA
Molecule: long non-coding RNA, 1097 nt
Organism: Neofelis nebulosa (Clouded leopard)
Lineage: Eukaryota; Metazoa; Chordata; Mammalia; Carnivora; Felidae
Exons: 2
Source: RefSeq, a predicted model, not a curated record